AUCACUUCUCAACUUUUUGGUUAAGAUCACGUGUAGUAUGUGUUCUCGUCAAUUUACUAUCUGAUAAUAAACCCUUCACUACUACAGUAUUAUAAUUUUUUUAUUUGCAACAGUC
Molecule: small nuclear RNA, 115 nt
Filed under: Sciurus vulgaris (Eurasian red squirrel)
Lineage: Eukaryota; Metazoa; Chordata; Mammalia; Rodentia; Sciuridae
Description: U2 spliceosomal RNA (ENSSVLG00005017291.1)
Rfam family: U2 spliceosomal RNA
About the family: U2 is a small nuclear RNA (snRNA) component of the spliceosome (involved in pre-mRNA splicing). Complementary binding between U2 snRNA (in an area lying towards the 5' end but 3' to hairpin I) and the branchpoint sequence (BPS) of the intron results the bulging out of an unpaired adenosine, on the BPS, which initiates a nucleophilic attack at the intronic 5' splice site, thus starting the first of two transesterification reactions that mediate splicing.
Source: Rfam by way of RNAcentral